Molecule: unclassified non-coding RNA, 288 nt
Filed under: Auriculariales sp.
Lineage: Eukaryota; Fungi; Basidiomycota; Agaricomycetes; Auriculariales
Description: partial contains 5.8S ribosomal RNA, internal transcribed spacer 2, and large subunit ribosomal RNA
Source: RNAcentral
AACGCACCUUGCGCUCCUUGGUAUUCCGAGGAGUGUGCCUGUUUGAGUGUCAUGGAAUUCUCAACCUUCAACACUUUUGUGAAGAAGGCUUGGACUUGGAGGCCGUGUUGGCUGGCAGCAGUCGACUCCUCUGAAUGUAUUAGUUGCGAACCUUACGGAUCGCUUCGGUGUGAUAAUUGUCUACGCCGUGGUGUUGAAGUAUAGCAGUGUUCGAGUUUCUAACAGUCCGCAAGGACAAUUUUUUGACAAUCUGACCUCAAAUCAGGUAGGACUACCCGCUGGACUUAA